This 468-nucleotide ribosomal RNA is filed under the name uncultured bacterium. RNAcentral describes it as "partial 16S ribosomal RNA". It matches the Rfam family "Bacterial small subunit ribosomal RNA", at positions 28 to 507 of the family's 1533-position model. The record is from RNAcentral.
GACGAACGCUGGCGGCGUGCUUAACACAUGCAAGUCGAACGGAAAGGCCCUGCUUUUGUGGGGUGCUCGAGUGGCGAACGGGUGAGUAACACGUGAGUAACCUGCCCUUGACUUUGGGAUAACUUCAGGAAACUGGGGCUAAUACCGGAUAGGAGCUCCUGCUGCAUGGUGGGGGUUGGAAAGUUUCGGCGGUUGGGGAUGGACUCGCGGCUUAUCAGCUUGUUGGUGGGGUAGUGGCUUACCAAGGCUUUGACGGGUAGCCGGCCUGAGAGGGUGACCGGCCACAUUGGGACUGAGAUACGGCCCAGACUCCUACGGGAGGCAGCAGUGGGGGAUAGUGCACAAUGGGCGGAAGCCUGAUGCAGCAACGCCGCGUGCGGGAUGACGGCCUUCGGGUUGUAAACCGAUUUCGCCUGUGACGAAGCGUGAGUGACGGUAAGGGGUAAAGAAGCACCGGCUAACUACGUG